CAUCACUGUAAAGCCAGCAAACGCAGUCAUGAUCUACUGACAAGCACUUCAGCUCUUUCCAUUCAGGAAUGCUACAAGGGCACAUUUUCAUGACUUUCUUCACAAUGCUUCUAAAGGCCUGAUGCUUCUUACAUCCCUGCGUCCCAAGGGCUACUCACUGAGCCCAUCAGAUGCUGCAACAUUUCCUUUGUUACUGCUGGCAACACCAGAACAUGCCUGUGCAUUGAAGUUAUUUUUGAUGUUUAAUAAGUAUUUAGUGCCUUCUUUGUGAAGAAAAACUUACUCAACACCUUUCUGGAAGCACAGUCAACUCUUUAUGCUGCUUUGGGCAAACAUCAACAGGAUUCUAUUAGCUUCAGGAAACUUCAGAGACAAUAUAACAAUAUCAGUUAUACUACGGAAGGAGCAAGCCUCAGCAGAGGAUUUAAGAAGCCCCAUUCUUAUUUUACUAGAGAAAUAAUCUUCAUAUGGAGGAACAAAGCACGACUGACAGAAAACACCAUUUGUUUCUUCUGGAUUCCUUCUUCAGAGGUCAAAAUCUUCAUGAUAACAAAGAAAUGUGCAGUGUUUACUCAGUAUGAAGAAGACAUUGCCCACCUGAGGCUUCCCUUAGAACUCAAUAUAAAGGAGUUGAGGUGUUAGAAGGUUCAUUGAUACUGUGUUAGUUUAUAAUAUAAGAAAUUAAAAUGUUGAAUUCUCAAGUUUAUAAAUGUUUUAGGAAAUCAUCUAUCAUGUGCAAGGUGGAAAAUUUUUUGACUCAGCAUGUGAGGGCAAUGGAUCACGGAUUGAAUUGGUGGUUUGGGACUGAUUACUCUGAGCAAUCCAUUUACAGAUUUGAAUGAAAUAAGUGAUUUGUGACUUUGUGACAUCAAUAAUGCAAUUCCCUAUAGCAAAAGUAAGUUAACAUAGAGACUACAAACUUAUUCUACAAUUUCUUUAUCAGAAAAUAUACAAUACAAAAUAUACAACUGUACAAUGGUAGAAAAAUGCUAACAAAUUGAAGUAACUGCUGUAUUUCAAAAGAAACUCCAAAAUAAUUAAGUGUUAUGAUAUCAUAUUAAAGUGAGGUUUCUUGCUCAAGAGAAGAUAACAUACAAGUCCUUUUAUAUUCCAGUCAACAAAUGCUGUGUUUUGGAGUGUGGCAAAACUCACUUGCUUGAGUUAUUAAUGAAUUAGAACAUCCUUGACAAUGGGAUUAAAAUGUGAAAAAGGUAGUGAUAAGAAAGAAGACAUGUUAAUUAAUGGUGUCUUCCUCAGAAUAUAUUGCUUUUCUCCAUCAGCAUUAUAAAUAAUUGAGUAACUUCUUGAGGCAAUCAUCCAGAGACUGUUUGUAACAGAAGUAACUUUAAAAAAAAUCUGAAUAAAUGGCUAUUGUAAGUGGAGUGGGAGUGUUCA
RNAcentral lists this long non-coding RNA (1395 nucleotides) under Anas platyrhynchos platyrhynchos (common mallard). RNAcentral's name for it is "lncRNA (ENSAPLG00000023734.1)". The record is from RNAcentral. Lineage: Eukaryota; Metazoa; Chordata; Aves; Anseriformes; Anatidae.